CCUACGGGGGGCAGCAGUGGGGAAUAUUGCGCAAUGGGCGAAAGCCUGACGCAGCGACGCCGCGUGAGGGAUGAAGGUCUUCGGAUCGUAAACCUCUGUCAGCAGGGAAGAACGGUCACUGUGCUAAUCAGCAGUGAAUUGACGGUACCUGCAAAGGAAGCACCGGCUAACUCCGUGCCAGCAGCCGCGGUAAUACGGAGGGUGCGUGCGUUAAUCGGAAUUACUGGGCGUAAAGCUCUCGUAGGCGGUAUGUCAAGUCAAGGGUGAAAUCCCCGCGCUCAACGUGGGAACUGCCUUUGAAACUGGGAAACUGGAGUGUGUGAGAGGAUAGUGGAAUUCCAGGUGUAGGAGUGAAAUCCGUAGAUAUCUGGAGGAACAUCAGUGGCGAAGGCGACUAGCUGGAACAUAACUGACGCUGAGGAGCGAAAGCGUGGGUAGCAAACAGGAUUAGAUACCCUAGUAGUC
This 465-nucleotide ribosomal RNA is filed under the name uncultured bacterium. RNAcentral describes it as "partial 16S ribosomal RNA". It matches the Rfam family "Bacterial small subunit ribosomal RNA", at positions 338 to 795 of the family's 1533-position model. The record is from RNAcentral.